UCCGCACUAAGUUCAUCAUCAAUAUGGUGACCUCUCGGGAGCAGGGGAUCACCAGGUUGCCUAAGGAGGAGUGAACGGUCCCAGGUCAGAAACGGAGCAGGUCAAAACUCCUGUGCUGAUCAGCAGUGGGAGAG
This 134-nucleotide signal recognition particle RNA is filed under the name Myotis brandtii (Brandt's bat). RNAcentral's name for it is "Metazoan signal recognition particle RNA". It matches the Rfam family "Metazoan signal recognition particle RNA", at positions 109 to 242 of the family's 299-position model. Rfam says of the family: The signal recognition particle (SRP) is a universally conserved ribonucleoprotein. It is involved in the co-translational targeting of proteins to membranes. Lineage: Eukaryota; Metazoa; Chordata; Mammalia; Chiroptera; Vespertilionidae. The record is from Rfam by way of RNAcentral.